RNAcentral lists this ribosomal RNA (113 nucleotides) under Lepisosteus oculatus (spotted gar). Lineage: Eukaryota; Metazoa; Chordata; Actinopteri; Semionotiformes; Lepisosteidae. The record is from RNAcentral.
GCCAGCAGCUAUAUCACUCUGCAACACCUGGCAGCCCGCUGAAGCUCAGCAGGUGUGAGCCUGGUCAGUACCUGAUGGGAGACCUCCUGGGAAAGCUAGAGUUGCUGCUGGAA